Molecule: long non-coding RNA, 273 nt
Organism: Syngnathus acus (greater pipefish)
Lineage: Eukaryota; Metazoa; Chordata; Actinopteri; Syngnathiformes; Syngnathidae
Exons: 2
Source: RefSeq, a predicted model, not a curated record
CAGUCUUCCUGAGGGCCCUCUGCACGAGUCACACGAGCACGCAUAUUGAACGUUGUCAUUGGCAUUUGUGUAGAGUUUACAACAGAAAAGAAAUAUGUCAAACUAAUCAUACCUGUCCAUGGUCUUGGAAACAUGCACGUCUUCAAAUAAGCGGCCUCCUAACACAAGACAAUCUGCAUACAAUCUGUAUACAAGGAAUUAUGAACAGUGUCUCAGAAGAGUGGAAUUAAGAGUAGACAAAAUUGAAUUGAGGACUUUUUUUUCUUGUAAAUC